RNAcentral lists this ribosomal RNA (465 nucleotides) under Vreelandella stevensii. RNAcentral's name for it is "partial 16S ribosomal RNA". It matches the Rfam family "Bacterial small subunit ribosomal RNA", at positions 338 to 795 of the family's 1533-position model. Lineage: Bacteria; Pseudomonadati; Pseudomonadota; Gammaproteobacteria; Oceanospirillales; Halomonadaceae. The record is from RNAcentral.
CCUACGGGUGGCAGCAGUGGGGAAUAUUGGACAAUGGGGGCAACCCUGAUCCAGCCAUGCCGCGUGUGUGAAGAAGGCCCUCGGGUUGUAAAGCACUUUCAGUGAGGAAGAACGCCUGGUGGUUAAUACCCAUCAGGAAAGACAUCACUCACAGAAGAAGCACCGGCUAACUCCGUGCCAGCAGCCGCGGUAAUACGGAGGGUGCGAGCGUUAAUCGGAAUUACUGGGCGUAAAGCGCGCGUAGGUGGCUUGAUAAGCCGGUUGUGAAAGCCCCGGGCUCAACCUGGGAACGGCAUCCGGUACUGUCAAGCUAGAGUGCAGGAGAGGAAGGUAGAAUUCCCGGUGUAGCGGUGAAAUGCGUAGAGAUCGGGAGGAAUACCAGUGGCGAAGGCGGCCUUCUGGACUGACACUGACACUGAGGUGCGAAAGCGUGGGUAGCAAACAGGAUUAGAUACCCGAGUAGUC